CAACAGGGUCGCAAGAAGCGUGUGGAAAAACCAAGGCGCAAAAUAACUGCCCAUGAACUGAGAAAAGUCAAGCGUGCAGCUGCCACGAUGCCACUUGCCACCAGUUUGGCCAUAUUUCAGAGCUGCAACAUCACUGGAGUGCCCAAAAGCACAAGGUGUGCAAUACUCAGAGACAUGGCCAAGAUAAGAAAGGCUGAAAGACGACCACCAGUGAACAAGACACACAGUCAAGACUGGACACAGUCAAGACUGGGCCAAGAAAUAUCUCAAGACUGAUUUUUCUAAGGUUUUAUGGACUGAUGAAAUGAGAGUGAGUCUUGAUGGGCCAGAUGGAUGGGCCCGUGGCUGGAUUGGUAAAGGGCAGAGAGCUCCAGUCCGACUCAGACGCCAGCAAGGUGGAGGUGGAGUACUGGUUUGGGCUGGUAUCAUCAAAGAUGAGCUUGUGGGGCCUUUUCGGGUUGAGGAUGGAGUCAAGCUCAACUCCCAG
Molecule: non-coding RNA, 487 nt
Organism: Pelobates cultripes (western spadefoot toad)
Lineage: Eukaryota; Metazoa; Chordata; Amphibia; Anura; Pelobatidae
Source: the annotation of a GenBank genome assembly